GCCAGGAAUGGGUGGUGUACACCUGUAAUCCGAGCUACUGAGGAGGCUGAGGCAGGAGAAUUUCAAGUUCCUGGCCAGCCUCUGUAACUUGGCAAGAUCCUGUCUCAA
RNAcentral lists this small RNA (108 nucleotides) under Marmota monax (woodchuck). The record is from RNAcentral. Lineage: Eukaryota; Metazoa; Chordata; Mammalia; Rodentia; Sciuridae.